RNAcentral lists this long non-coding RNA (449 nucleotides) under Homo sapiens (human). Its description in RNAcentral is "non-protein coding lnc-EFR3A-2:4". Lineage: Eukaryota; Metazoa; Chordata; Mammalia; Primates; Hominidae. The record is from RNAcentral.
AACACAGUCGAGGAGUGAGAUCUGGCUUUGAAUCCUGACUUUUCCCCUUGACAGCUCUGUGACCUUGGCCAUGUCACUUAACUUCCCUCCGCUUCAAUGUCUUCAUCUACAAACCAGGAAUAAUAGUAUAUAUCACAAAAUGUAUCUAAGAUACAAAUGAGACACUGUGAAGUCCUUGGCACAGGACUUAUAAAAGAAGUAGAACACACAUGCUUCCCAUUAGGUGAGAAAGAAACAUGCCUGAGAGUCUAAUGGAUUACUCAAGUCUGUGCUGCCAAGGAAGAACAGAAUCUUUAGGAUAUCAUGUGUUUUACAAAUUGAAGUUUGUGGAAACCCUGCAUCAAACAAGUCUAUUGGUGACAUUUUCCCAACAGCAUUUGCUCACUUUGUGUUUCUGUGUCACAUGUUGAUAAUUCUUACAAUAUUUGGGUCUUCUGUGCAAAGUUGUG